CUGACACUUAACACUGGGAACGUGUAUGUGCUGGAGGGGACACCGGCAUGAAGAAACCUAUCUAAACCAAUUACAAGUGAAAUAUUAAUAACUAACUUUGCAAAACUUGCAAAACACAUGACCAAGAGAACCCAUGGCUGGGCCCCUUCCAGAGCCCCUUCCUGUGCAUUACAGAAGCCUUGAGGGAGAAGCUUCAGUGAACAGCCCAGUGAACGGCCCAGUGAAUGGCCUCUGUACUCUGGUCUCAGUUCUUUCUCCAUGAAACAGCAGGAACAAUAGUAUUUUACAUAUGGGCUGUGUGAGAGCUGGGGAGAAUAGAUAUGUAAAGGGUUUCUAUGUACUUAUCAGGGUGCCUGGCAUAUAUUUAAGGUUCAACAAGUGGUAGCUAUCAUCAACGCAUUCUUCCCUUAUUGAAAACGUCUUAUUUUAGUCUGCAUUUUAGUUUAGAGAAAGGAGCCACAUGGAGCCAGGUGCUGGCUUGGAUUUGGCCCUUCCAGCCAUCCGAGCAUGGACUGACCCAGCCCUCUUUCCUAGGUUUGCAUCCCAGGUAGGGCCUGGUUCCCUGGGGCGCCAUUGGCCCAGAGCCCCUCAGGGUCACCUCAGGUCAGUUAUCCAAGAAAUCCUUAAGUUUCAUCUUUUAAAUCAUCCAUGUAAAAUUUAUUUUACCUCAGUGAUUUUUCUUCUGAGAAUCCUAUUUAAACACACUCUUUCCCCCUUCAAUUAAACCAGCAAGAAUUCAGUACCCUUCUACCCCUUCAACUCUUCCUCCACCCCGUGAGCAUUCCCAUGCAUCAUUCUCCGGCAUCAUUCUCACUGCAUCCUCAGGCUCUGGGAAGCUGCGUGAUCACCUGAGGUGAUCCAAACUCAGGUCUGUCUCGCUCACCAGUGUUUUCUCCAUUCCCUUAUGCGGAGGAGGACAAGUAAGGCCCCGUUAACGCUAACCUGUGGGCUUAAGCCCUAGCUGCCCAUCUGCUGACCAGGCGGACAUUCACUAAAGACCAUGAAUAUGACUUAUGGGUGCCAGCCCACCCACCUCCUAGUCCCACACUGCACCUGCAAACAUCACCAUGGAGCUCCACAGGGCAACCGUUCCUUCCUCGUCUAAGUGACUUGCCAGUGGACCAGCGACAUCCCAGGUCUCUCUCUCUCAACAAAUGGCAGCAGGUUGGUGGGGAUGUGAUGCUGCCAGGUGAAGGACAAGUUUUAUUAAGCCUGAGUAAAAGACUGGGGGUAGCUGGGGACAAGGAGGAGUUUGAGCACCCAGAGAGGGUGCUCACAGAAGGAAAGAGGGAGAGAGCAGAAGCAGGAAUUCCAGAGGAAAUAAUAUAAUUCAAGAACAAAGAUGGACAGGCACCCCUAGGUUCCUGAAUCUUCCAUCUUCUGCCACCCCUGCCCUGCUCACAUAUCCAGGUACCCUUACACACCUGAGCCAAUCCAGUGAGCUGUUUUCUGGGAGAUGCUAGGGAAACCCACACGCUACUGAGGACAGGUGCUACCAGCGAGUCCUGUGGUUUAAGGACAGUGUUCCUCAGGGCUGUGUAGAAGGGCUCUGCGCUAAAAGCAAUUCUGCUAAUUACUAAGUAUGUGUUGGGCAAGUUAAGUUACUUAACAUCUCUGAGUUCACGUUUCUGAGCUGCAAAAUGCAUUGAUGGGGCUUAAACGAGAUGACAAAAGUGCCUGCAGCAGCUACCCGAUAAAUCACAAUAUCAUCACAAUUCUGGGUUGACCCUGGUCUCUGCCCCAGGGAGUUCCGAAUUCUCACGUCCCAAACUGCAAACUCAGUGUCCUCCAAGAAUGUCGCCCUUCUCCUCCCACCUCUAGAUGUUUCAGUAACUUCUUUCCUGUUUAUUGAGAGAUUCAUCCCAGUGUCCUCUCAUUCCCUUCUGUCCCUCUGGGAAUUUCUUCCAUCAGUUUUGCUUCCUUUUUCAUACCUGUCACCUGAGCUUCCAAAUAUCGAUCUCUCUCCAUCCUAAAAAUAUUUCUGUGCCUCAUCCCUGCAUGCUCAAAGGUGAUCUUCCUUCUCCUCUUUACCAUCACAGUUCUCAAAAUAAUGAUUGGCAUUUCUUGAAUGUUUCUCUCGAAGGCCCUCUGUGAACUCCUAGUGCCAAUUCCAGCAAUGCCUUGGGGGUCAGCACUUCCUCCUGCCACCUCUGCACCUUCAGCUGUUCUCCAUCCUGGAACUUUCCUGACAGCCCCCUGGUCCUCAUCUCAAGUCAUCUGUAACAUUUAAUGUGACUGACACUUCCCGCUUUAAAAAUCUUUCUCAGUGUCUGGAUAUUUUAGAAUUGCACAAGGCAGUAUGAAGGGGUGGAAAGACAUGGCAUCCGGGAUUUACUUUAAAUUACUUCAGCAAAUAAAAAAGAGAAAAAGAAAGAAAAGGAGGAAUAGAAGAAGCAAAAAUGAUAUGGCAAAACCUUGACAAUUAUUUAAUUCAAGAUGUUCAGGGUGGGUAUAUGGGGAUUCACUCUUAGUCUCUGUAUUUCUACAUACAAAGCAAUUGACAUUUUCCAUGUAAUUUUUAAAACUAUUUUUAUUUAUUUAGUUAGUCUUUGGAACAACGUCUUGCUCUGUCAUCCAGGCUGGAGCACAGUGGUGCAAUCACAGCUCACUGAAGCCUGAACCUCCCCAGCUCAAGUAUCCUCCCACCUCAGCCUCCCAAGUAGCUGGGACCACAGGGACACGUCACCAUGCCUGGCUAAUUUUUGAAAUUCUUUUUUUUUUUUUUUUUUUUUUUUUGUAGAGACAGGGUUUUGCCAUGUUGCCCAGGCUGGUCUCGAACUCUUGAGUUCAAGUGAUCCACUCACCUUGGCCUCCCAAAGUGCCAGGAUUACAGGCAUGAGCCACCAUGACCGGCCCCAUAAUUAGAAAUUAUUUUUCUUUCCUGGACCUCCUUAUGACACAUCUCUCCUGGCUCUGCUCCUUUCUGAAACCUCCUAUUCCCAUCUUUUCCUUCUCUUUCUCUACCUGCUUUGUGAAAAAUAAGUGCUUCCCAAGGCCCUUGCUCGCCUCUGUGUGAAGUGCCAGUGGCCAGUGCCGAGGCCCAGGUGAAACUCCCCAGCCCACUGAUUCACCUGAGCCUGCUGUGAAGGUGAGCCAAUGCUAUAGCUUUAGUCCUGCCCUCUCUACAAACACCAGACCCACGUGUAUUUUUAAAAAUUUACACAUAUUUUAAAUAUGUAUAUAAAUACAGAGAAUAAGAAGACAAAAUCCCUGACCCACUACCCAGAUUUAACCAGUGCUGACAUUUUGGUACAUUUGCUUCAUAGUUUUAGAAAUAACAAGUUACAAAUAUAGCUGAAGGCCCCGACACACCUCUCCCAGACCCCAUUCUCUUCUCUUGCUCCCCAUAGGAAACCACCGAUCUGAACUUGGUAUAUAGCCCCAGACCAUGUUUGUACUUUGACCACAGAGACUGGUGUCUAGAACAAUACAUAAAAUUAUUUUUUUUAAUCUUCAUGACUCUUUAAGUAUCUGUAAUUUUUUUCACUCAACACUGUGUUUUCCCCAUAUUGAUACACACAGAUCCUGUUGGUUCAUUCUGAAUGCUGCAGAGUAAAUACUUUCUCUUAUGACACACAUCGCAAGUUGUCUGUCCACUUCCCUAAGCAGACGUCUCGGCUGUGUCCCGAGCAAACGGUGCCAUGGUGACCUGCCUUUGCAGGUCUCCUGCUGCGCACCUGCGUGAGCAUGUCGCUCUCCUCACCUGCCACCGUCCCUGUGACAUUUUCUUGUGCUUGUUUGCUUUUCUGACUCCCCCACUCAAAUGCAAGCAAAGAAAGUGAGUACUUUCAUCUCUAUGCUAUUAAUGCAUCAUGCCUAGCUCAUAGUGGAUUAAUAUGAAGGAGAAAAGGAAGGAAGGAAAGGAAGAAGGAAGGAAGGAAAGGAGGGAGGGAGGCUUUCUAUCACCAGGCUCAGGAGCUAAGGACUAGGCAAUACGUGGAAUUAUUUUGUGGAAGUCCAGGUAUGACGUUGCAGUGAGGAAUCCAAGAGGCAUUUUAAUAGCAAUGUAUAUGCCUGCAACCAAAGAACAUACUCUCAGCAAGCGUUUUACCUCUCAGCAGAAAGAUGUGAGCUGCUGCCUGUAUUUUGCGCUGCUGCCUGUAUUUUGCACUGCUCCUGAAACGGGUCUGAUAACAGCUAGUUAUAGAAUAUUUGGUGUCAUUUUCCAGAUGAAGGGAACUACAUGGUCUCAAGCCAGCUAAGACUUGACAGAGAAAAGAUAAGACUUUGACAGUAAUUCAGCCAACGUGUAUUUCCACUCCUGCUCUGUGCCAGGCAGCACAGGUGAGCCCUGAGGAGGGUCUGGGUAGGGCAUGGCCUCUUCACUCCCCUACAAUCCACUCACCACAUGAAGCAAAUCAUGUCACGCCCCUCCUUCAAGCCCUCCAAUGUCUCCCAGCAGCUUUGCAAUAAAGUGUCAACUUCUUGCUCUGCUGGUGUCUUUGAGAUCUGGGCCUGUUCUUCCUGCCUCCCUCCAUCCUACCCAUGUGCACCAGUGCUGACCCUCCCAGCCGGGUCCCCUCAGGGCUUUCUCACUCACAGGGCAGUAUCUUCCCAUGGCAAUCCCCCUCCCCACCUCUCAUCACUGCCUCCUCUACCCUGCUGUCCUGCUACAGUGUCUUCAUGGCACUUUCCACUGGCAGAAAUGACAGGAUUUGCCUAUUAUUGCUGUCUCUUUGUUCCACUAGAAUGUAAACUCAUGAAGGGCAGGAGCCUUGUCUGAAUCGUUUCUUGGCUGUAGAUCCCUCACCUACAAUUGCGACAGUCACCUAAUGAGUAUUUAUUGCAAGUGGACUUCCGGUGGCCUUCAGAUUCUCUGCCCCAUCGUGCCUGAGGCCCAGCUGUGAAACUGCAACAUUCCUGCACUCCAAUUAUGGAUUCCCCUUAGGCUCAAACUCAUUUCAUUUUGCUUGUGAUAACUGCAAUUCACAGCUCUGCGACGCCUGGUGGGAGAGGAGCUAGGCAGAGAGCUUGCUGUAUCAGGAGGCAGCCAUUGAGUGCUGACCCUGGUCAAUACGCAGACAUUGAUCUGAGAAUGGAGAAGCGGCUACACAUUUCUCAGGCUGUCAAGUACCUGCAGUGACCAUGAGCAGUAAGGUGUGUGGCAAGAGAUGGGGCAAGCCCUGGGUUUUCCUUCAAGACCUGGUGCAGAGCAGACGUUCGGAUAUCUAGCAGGUUUGCCUCUCAAUCCAUAAACCUGGGUCUCUAGUGAACUGCUAUUCCAGUCUCUAAUUCCACUGGGCUGGAAAUUACAGAUUGGUUGUUACUGGACUCCAGGAGGCUCCCAAAGUCUCACAGAAAUCCAGGAGACUUAAAUGAUCCAAGGGCAGGAAAGAAGGCUGCUCAUCCCAGCCUAGCAGCGGAUUUGCUCCUCAGUCUUCAGUGUCUAAGCUCAGAGCAGUUCCUGCAAGUCUACCUCCAGGCAAGGGAAUCUACCGAGGUGGGGCACCCCUGGGGGCUGUGCCUCUCUAAGGCACACCAGGCACCCUCUUCCUCGGAGCUCUUGCUGUCAGUAGCCCACCUAAGCACACAUCCAGGCAACACCUGUCCUUUGCUCACCCAGGCCACAGGGGAAGCUCUGGGCAACUCCUCUUCCAGGACAUUAACGCAGCAUAAGGGGAUAAUGGUCUGCUCUACCUUCAAGCCGUCAGAACUUAAGGGGCUCAAGCAUCUUUUUCUCACAGACAUGUGCCCCCUGCUCUCCCCUCUCUCCCACUCAGCUGGGGAGCGGAGGUCCAAAGCAUUUUCUCAGAAACUCAACCUGAUGUAAUCUUUCUCACAUUCUUUCUCAUCAGUAUCCCUCCCCACCCACUGUGUGCGUGUGUGUGUGUAUGUGUGUGUGUGUUGGGGAUAUGUGUUGGUUCAGCCUGAUCAUGCAAUCUCUCCACUCAUUUAUACGUGUGGGUUGUGCUUUUUAAAACAUAACUGUCAAGACUUAACGUCUUUGUUUUCUUGUUCCUCCCUCACACCUCUCUGCAGGCAGCCCUGGCCUCUUGAGCAGGGAGUGUCAGAGGGUGGAGAUGGCGUAUCAGUUCAUCCUUUACAGACCAUCCAACCGCAGGAGUUAUCGCUUGAAAAAAGGUUUCACAGUUCGUUGGGAAAUGCUGGGCACAUGCCCUUUUCUUAAUGACUCACGGGGCAGAUAAACACAGGAAGGGUCAUCUCCAGAAAAGAGCCCUGUUUAUACACUAGUGAUUCCCAAAUGCGC
This 6208-nucleotide long non-coding RNA is filed under the name Homo sapiens (human). Its description in RNAcentral is "long non-coding RNA NONHSAT165733.1". The record is from RNAcentral. Lineage: Eukaryota; Metazoa; Chordata; Mammalia; Primates; Hominidae.